UCAUUCCACGAGUUGCAUUUGGAUUUGUGUAAAUUUAACACGAAUAAAUUUUUGCAGGCCACUAGUUUCCGAACAAGGAAGGCUUUCGAGGGCGAGAGGUGUUAUCCAGAGCAUUGCAGUCGACGCUUUGUCCAUGGUGGGUAGAGCAAAGACCGCUUACAAGAUGACCAUGGGCUUUGGCCAAGAUCAAAUUCACGCGUCCUCAGUAUUCAGUAUGCCGAUGGUUUCUUCGUCGCGAAGUUCCUGGAGAAAUCCAUCUCUGUACAACGAUUGGCUUUCGUCUUCUUCUUCGUUCCCCCCUCCCGCAAUCGACGAAGAAGUUUUGACGUCCGAGAGAGUUUCCAUCCCUCAAGACGUAUAGACUUCGGGAGCUACGUGACUCGAUUGCGGCCGAGUCGAGUCCCGUGAGCUGCUGGCGAGCGACGCAUUUGAGUCGUGUACAUUGUUGAAGAAGUUUUCCUGCUGGUGGGCUUGGACCAAGGAAGAAAUGACUGCCUUUGGGUCCGACAACCUACACAGCACAGGAGCAAAGUUUUGGUGGCGGAUCAAAAUUCGCCUUUAUACUUACAUGAGAGCACCGGUAGGCCAAUCUUGUUCCAUAACGAGUCUUCGUGCGUGCAGCAGCUGUUCGCGCUCUCUCUCUGCAAGAUCAAAGUAUAGAAGACGAUGCGCUCUAAGUUUCUCUCA
Molecule: long non-coding RNA, 687 nt
Organism: Selaginella moellendorffii
Lineage: Eukaryota; Viridiplantae; Streptophyta; Lycopodiopsida; Selaginellales; Selaginellaceae
Exons: 3
Source: RefSeq, a predicted model, not a curated record